CCAAAAUUUAGCUGCUCUGGUUCAGGCCAGUUGCACGCUUCAACCCUUUGUGAACCAAAAAAACCUUACGCUUCGGCAGCUGGUCUCUGACUGUAAGCCUGCCGACGGCACCAAUUUAAACCUGUCGUAAAACAAUUGUCUGAACUAAACAUUUUCGAAUGAAAAUUA
RNAcentral lists this unclassified non-coding RNA (168 nucleotides) under uncultured Dactylella. RNAcentral's name for it is "sequence contains ITS1". The record is from RNAcentral. Lineage: Eukaryota; Fungi; Ascomycota; Orbiliomycetes; Orbiliales; Orbiliaceae.